CUGACUUUGUCUUAGAUAUACACGUACAAGACACGAGUAUGCGAGGCAUGUGAUGCAUGUGAAGUUUGUAACGGUUCAUUCUUGUAUUCUCUCUCUCAUUUUUAUUCAGUGGACGAAAUUGAAUCAAAGAGGAAGUUGGAGGGUAGGCUGCUUGGCACAAAAAACGCUGUAACUGAAGUUUGUUUGCAACCCCUAGAAAGGAAGAAGUUGCCUCCCAAUAUUUUUUGAACUCCCCUGGUUAUCUCUCCAAUAUGAUAAAUCCAAAUCCGAAAAUUUUCUCUUGCCACUGAGCAUGUACAGAUUGACAUUCAGUGUCAAGGUGAAUUUGCAAGUAUUCCAUGAUUGUGUCUGUGUAGGCUCUUCGAAGAUCAACCCUACAGUUUGGAGUAUUAUUUUAACCAUUGGAUCUGCAAAUUCAUGGCGCCUUUGGACCUAUGAUCACGAGUAACUACUUUGGCCCUCCAAGUGGUGGGGGGUGGGAAUUGAGCGGAAUUGCCAUUUCCGUUUUGAGGUGCAUCUUUGUUGAGACGAUGCAAGUUUUGUCCCUUGUUGGAUGAUGCUGCAACACUAAUGUUUAAUGUGAAACAGAUCCUACUGCUAAUUUGUUGUCGGCUCCAAUGAGUUUUUUUCUGUUGUAGUUGUACUGUGUUACUUUUGUAUGUCAAAACCCUCCCUACGCGGGGUCGAUUGUACUAUUCCUAACAUGUAGUUUGCUCUCUUAUUAAGAAUCAAGAAAAUUCUCAG
Long non-coding RNA from Pyrus x bretschneideri (Chinese white pear), 744 nucleotides. RefSeq lists it as uncharacterized. The transcript has 2 exons. NCBI's taxonomy places the organism in Eukaryota, Viridiplantae, Streptophyta, Magnoliopsida, Rosales, Rosaceae. The record is from RefSeq and is a predicted model, not a curated record.